This 742-nucleotide long non-coding RNA is filed under the name Phoenix dactylifera (date palm). RNAcentral's name for it is "long non-coding RNA (PDAC_LNC018306)". Lineage: Eukaryota; Viridiplantae; Streptophyta; Magnoliopsida; Arecales; Arecaceae. The record is from RNAcentral.
AUAUGUAUUUUGUGUUGAUCAUGUACUUUGAACUUUGAUUGAGGAACAUUGUAUUUGUUUUGUUUUGGCAUUAUUGUACUACAAUGUUCCAUUUUGAUCAAUGAAACUGAAAUGUUUGUUAAUUAUUGUGUUUAUUCCCAUUCACCUAUUUGAUGAUAACAAAAAGGGGGAGAAGCAAGGAAAGAGAAAUAAGUUGAGCAAGGAAAGAGAAAUAAGUUGACAAACAAGUUGAAAAUUAUAAUAGGAAAGCAUAUACAUUUAAGGGGGAGCAAUUUGUAACAAUGAAAAUGUUAAAGUCUAGAAUUUAAAUCGAAUUUCAGAAUUUGGCACAUACAAUUUCAGAAUUUGGCACAUACAAUUUCAGAAUUUGGCACAUAAUCUGAAACUCAUGCUUUAUCUCAAAUUUUUGAAGUUUCAUCUUUAAUGAAAUAUAAAAGAAAGGGGGAGUAAUUCAAAAGGUCAAAUUAGAAACAUUUGGAUGAAAUAGGGGGAGACUUCACUCUCAAAUUUGAAAAGCUGAAAUUCAGCAACUUGAGCCCUUUUAAAACUAAUUUUAAGAUAAGUAUCAAUAGGCUCAUACUCUAUAUUUUGUAAUCAUUAAAAAGGGGGAGAUUGAGGAUGAUAGUGGUAUUUUGAUGAUUAAUACAAUAAUCAAGAGUAUGUUACAAGUUAAUUCGAUACAUCAUUUAUAAGUCUGUUACUCUCAGUACAUUAGUAUAAUAAGAUAAAGAUGCAUUUCAUU